CACGGUAUGACAAUGCGGUACGGU
Molecule: non-coding RNA, 24 nt
Filed under: Arabidopsis thaliana (thale cress)
Lineage: Eukaryota; Viridiplantae; Streptophyta; Magnoliopsida; Brassicales; Brassicaceae
Source: RNAcentral